CAUGACUAAGUGGCUUAACCCCAAUUAUGCCGUGGACACCCGCGAAUGGGGUGACUUUGACAUAAUCAAAGAUUAAGUACUUAGCCACAAGACAACGACGAUGCCUCAGGUCAAAGGACUACUUACAUUAUUCCAACCAUUAGAGUUACUUGCUUGACAUGUGAGUAGACCUCCAUGCAAGUACUCUCGUUCGAUUGUGUUUAGUGAACUCAUUCCCUUAAUGAGCACCUACAUACUUGUCUUAGUGUCACCACACGAAUGGGAUGAGACUUUCCAUCCUUCCAUUUGAAGCAGACACAAUAUGUACCGGUCUAAGCAUUGUCAGUAUCCCUCCGACAAUCCAAUGACCAGGAACCUUUUUGGACAUUAUGGUUAUGUGAAGAACGUCUCUGUAGUCUAACAUCAUUAGAUUACUUCUUCAAUCGAUCCAUUGUCCAUGGAUUCACUAU
This 449-nucleotide long non-coding RNA is filed under the name Malus domestica (apple). RNAcentral's name for it is "long non-coding RNA (MDOM_LNC015523)". The record is from RNAcentral. Lineage: Eukaryota; Viridiplantae; Streptophyta; Magnoliopsida; Rosales; Rosaceae.